GCCUGGCUGGCUCAGUUGGUGGAGCAUGCAACUCUCGAUCUCAGGGGUUGUGGGUUCAAGCCCCAUGUUGGGUG
This 74-nucleotide transfer RNA is filed under the name Ailuropoda melanoleuca (giant panda). It matches the Rfam family "tRNA". From Rfam's summary of the family: Transfer RNA (tRNA) molecules are approximately 80 nucleotides in length. Their secondary structure includes four short double-helical elements and three loops (D, anti-codon, and T loops). The record is from Rfam by way of RNAcentral. Lineage: Eukaryota; Metazoa; Chordata; Mammalia; Carnivora; Ursidae.